RNAcentral lists this ribosomal RNA (173 nucleotides) under uncultured bacterium. Its description in RNAcentral is "partial 16S ribosomal RNA". It matches the Rfam family "Bacterial small subunit ribosomal RNA", at positions 334 to 524 of the family's 1533-position model. The record is from RNAcentral.
UACUCCUACGGGAGGCAGCAGUGGGGAAUAUUGCACAAUGGAGGAAACUCUGAUGCAGCGACGCCGCGUGAGUGAAGAAGUAAUUCGUUAUGUAAAGCUCUAUCAGCAGGGAAGAUAGUGACGGUACCUGACUAAGAAGCUCCGGCUAAAUACGUGCCAGCAGCCGCGGUAAU